UCCCUGGUAGUAUAUCGGUUAGUACACGCGCCUGUCAUGCUCUCUCCAGAGCAAAGACCGCGCGAAAGCGGGGUUCGACUCCCCGCCAGGGAG
Trametes maxima is the source of this 93-nucleotide non-coding RNA. NCBI's taxonomy places the organism in Eukaryota, Fungi, Basidiomycota, Agaricomycetes, Polyporales, Polyporaceae. The record is from the annotation of a GenBank genome assembly.